This 426-nucleotide ribosomal RNA is filed under the name uncultured bacterium. RNAcentral describes it as "bacterial SSU rRNA". It matches the Rfam family "Bacterial small subunit ribosomal RNA", at positions 354 to 796 of the family's 1533-position model. The record is from RNAcentral.
GUAGGGAAUAUUGGGCAAUGGGCGAAAGCCUGACCCAGCAACGCCGCGUGCACGAUGAAGGUCUUCGGAUCGUAAAGUGCUUUUCUGGGAGAUGAGAAAGGACAGUAUCCCAGGAAUAAGUCUCGGCUAACUACGUGCCAGCAGCCGCGGUAAAACGUAGGAGACGAGCGUUAUCCGGAUUUACUGGGCGUAAAGCGCGUGUAGGUGGUUCGGCAAGUUGGAUGUGAAAUCUCCCGGCUCAACUGGGAGGGGUCGUUCAAUACUACCGGACUUGAGAGCAGUAGAGGAAGGUGGAAUUCCCGGUGUAGUGGUGAAAUGCGUAGAUAUCGGGAGGAACACCAGUGGCGAAAGCGGCCUUCUGGACUGUUUCUGACACUCAGACGCGAAAGCUAGGGUAGCGAACGGGAUUAGAAACCCUUGUAGUCC